CCGAGUUUACACUCCCAAACCCCUGUGAACAUACCUAUACGUUGCCUCGGCGGAUCAGCCCGCGCCCCGUAAAACGGGACGGCCCGCCCGAGGACCCUAAACUCUGUUUUUAGUGGAACUUCUGAGUAAAACAAACAAAUAAAUCAAAACUUUCAACAACGGAUCUCUUGGUUCUGGCAUCGAUGAAGAACGCAGCAAAAUGCGAUAAGUAAUGUGAAUUGCAGAAUUCAGUGAAUCAUCGAAUCUUUGAACGCACAUUGCGCCCGCCAGUAUUCUGGCGGGCAUGCCUGUUCGAGCGUCAUUUCAACCCUCAAGCUCAGCUUGGUGUUGGGACUCGCGGUAACCCGCGUUCCCCAAAUCGAUUGGCGGUCACGUCGAGCUUCCAUAGCGUAGUAAUCAUACACCUCGUUACUGGUAAUCGUCGCGGCCACGCCGUAAAACCCCAACUUCUGAAUGUUGACCUCGGAUCAGGUAGGAAUACCCGCUG
This 487-nucleotide ribosomal RNA is filed under the name Fusarium chlamydosporum. Its description in RNAcentral is "eukaryotic LSU rRNA". The stretch from base 148 to 301 matches the Rfam family "5.8S ribosomal RNA". The record is from RNAcentral. Lineage: Eukaryota; Fungi; Ascomycota; Sordariomycetes; Hypocreales; Nectriaceae.